AGGAACGGUUUUCUCGGAGCGAUUCAGACUGAAUUUUCUCGGCGAUUCUAGGGUUUCUCCUUGGUUCUGUCCGGAGCCAAUUUUACUUGGGUCUCCCGAUUCUGGGUUUCAUCGUUAUGGGGGAGCCUUCCGGACCAAGCAAUUCAUGGGCCGCCAUUGAUUCUUCCAAUAUAGGGUUUCAGACAUGGGUGCAACUUGAACAUCGCAGCUCCUGAAGAAGCAUGGUUGGAAGGAAGGGAGUGGUCUCGGAGUUGCAGAACAGGGGAGGUUAGAGCCGGUAGAGGCACAGUUGAAACAUAAUAAACGGGGACUGGGAGCAGACAGACCAAAAAAGAAAAGAACAAAACCUCAGACGACAACUUCUCAAAAUGAUGAAAAGGGAGAAGAAGGAGGAGUUUCAAAGAAAAGCAAGAAACUUUCUAAGAAGAUGAGGAAGAUGAUGGAGUUUGAAAAGCAUUUACAGGAAAAGGAGUUCGAAAGAGCCUUCUUUAGGGAGUUUUGGCCUGACAACGUUUAAGGAUGAUGAAUGCCUUCUUUAGGGACUUCUGUUGUGUUGUUGAUUCUUUUGUUGUAAGCUCUCACACUCUCUAUGUAAAGGUUUUUGGUUCACACACGGAAGAAAAGCCUAUAGCUUUUGAAGA
This is an RNA transcript of Tarenaya hassleriana, 641 nucleotides long. It is a transcript of the gene named PIN2/TERF1-interacting telomerase inhibitor 1, with no coding region annotated. The transcript is spliced from 5 exons. The record is from RefSeq and is a predicted model, not a curated record. Lineage: Eukaryota; Viridiplantae; Streptophyta; Magnoliopsida; Brassicales; Cleomaceae.